Molecule: transfer RNA, 78 nt
Filed under: Citrobacter koseri
Lineage: Bacteria; Pseudomonadati; Pseudomonadota; Gammaproteobacteria; Enterobacterales; Enterobacteriaceae
Description: tRNA-Thr(ggt)
Rfam family: tRNA
About the family: Transfer RNA (tRNA) molecules are approximately 80 nucleotides in length. Their secondary structure includes four short double-helical elements and three loops (D, anti-codon, and T loops). Further hydrogen bonds mediate the characteristic L-shaped molecular structure. tRNAs have two regions of fundamental functional importance: the anti-codon, which is responsible for specific mRNA codon recognition, and the 3' end, to which the tRNAs corresponding amino acid is attached (by aminoacyl-tRNA synthetases). tRNAs cope with the degeneracy of the genetic code in two manners: having more than one tRNA (with a specific anti-codon) for a particular amino acid; and 'wobble' base-pairing, i.e. permitting non-standard base-pairing at the 3rd anti-codon position.
Source: RNAcentral
UGCUGAUAUGGCUCAGUUGGUAGAGCGCACCCUUGGUAAGGGUGAGGUCCCCAGUUCGACUCUGGGUAUCAGCACCCA